This 253-nucleotide ribosomal RNA is filed under the name uncultured bacterium. RNAcentral describes it as "partial 16S ribosomal RNA". It matches the Rfam family "Bacterial small subunit ribosomal RNA", at positions 524 to 776 of the family's 1533-position model. The record is from RNAcentral.
UACAGAGGUCUCAAGCGUUGUUCGGAUUCAUUGGGCGUAAAGGGUGUGUAGGUGGCGCCGUAAGUCGGGUGUGAAAUUUCGGAGCUUAACUCCGAAACUGCAUUCGAUACUGCGGUGCUUGAGGACUGGAGAGGAGACUGGAAUUCAUGGUGUAGCGGUGAAAUGCGUAGAGAUGACAUAGAACACCUAUUGCGAAGGCAGCUUACUACGCCUAUAUUGACGCUGAGGCACGAAAGCGUGGGGAUCAAACAGG